AUCAUCGACCCAUUGGAUGGUUCCCGCAGAGCGCUCUGUUUUGCGGGAGUAAAUGGGAAUGUGACAGGGUGGACCCAGAUCGGGCACUCUUAUCGCAGCCGACCCCGCGACUGUAGAGCGGUCAGGGUUCGCCAUCCGGGAAAGCCGAUCCUUCGGGAAUGUCGCAUGGUGCGGCAUGUCGCAGGCGCAGGCCCAACCGGAAAAGCCACUGGAGUGGCAUCAUGAUCAGCCGGGGCCGGACGCCUCUUUGUCUACGAAUCGUCCACCUCUUCGUGAUGCCUGUCGAUUGCGGUUAGCAAUCCGGCCUGAAGACUCCGGGAAGGCGAGGCGAACCCGUUCGCACCCUUGGGUGCGUAGACCCGUGAGCCAGGAGACCUGCCAUCCGACAAGGGCAUAA
RNAcentral lists this non-coding RNA (397 nucleotides) under Rhizobium sp. The record is from RNAcentral. Lineage: Bacteria; Pseudomonadati; Pseudomonadota; Alphaproteobacteria; Hyphomicrobiales; Rhizobiaceae. RNAcentral also lists the same sequence under 1 other name.